AGCUAAGCCUUUUUUCUGGGGAGGAGUUAAAGCACAACCUAUUGAGUUUGACUUGUCACUCUGUAACCCACCUCAAUGAGAGUGUCUAAUGGUAUUUUUACUGUUUCUUUUUGUGCAUAUAAUAGGAAAACUCCUUAAAUAUCUCUUCAUAUCUUUUGGCGCAUGAGAAUAUCCAGGUGUACUUAGUUUCGUGAGGUCUGACACCACCAAAGCCAGAUGACAACUGUGAAAAAAUAAAUCUAAUGGCUGUAAACUCACCUGACUAAAGAAAUAUUUUUGUAUACGACCCUCUGCUUCUGAGCACCAUACAAACACUGUGUAGCUGCCUGUGAUCUUCACCUUGCCCUCUGAAGUAGAAAACUAAAAUUAUUCCCUUGCUCUGGAGCCACUGAUGACAGAAUACUUGAAACUGCAGUGAAAAAGCUUUAGCUCCUCACAAAGACAGGAGCUACCACAUCACUGCUACUUUUCUCUACCUCAGUAAAUCUUGUGGCUUCUGCUUAGGAUACUAACAUUUUAUUAAUGAACACUAGUUUGUGUACUAGUUCUGAUGAAAAUUAAAAAUAUGGUUGUUUGCAGUUGCUGAGUCCCAAAUUAAUGACAAUGAACUCUCCAAUAGUACCACCUGACAAGAUGUGAACUGGUACAUAGAAAUAUAAAUGUUUUCAUCUCAUCAGAGGGCAAAACUGUUCUGAUAUUAUUUGAAACCUGUAAAAGAAUGAUACAGAAAUUCACCAAGAUGCUUGUCUGUGAAGUGCUGGGUGUCUUAAGAAGGGACUUUAAUUUUAAAAAAAGGGAGGAGGUUUCUGGUAGGAAGAAGAUCUAAGAUUAACUCUUGUCCUUGGUUGUCAGGAUUUCUCUAUAUAGAAGAUGACACUGAUAAGAGAGUUUAAUGUCUCUGUAAACAACAGCGUUCCUAGCAGGAAUGGCAAGUACAUACACCCUGGGAAUCUGGCUGUCUAAUGAACCAAAAAGUACCAAAAUGAAUACUAAAUUAUUUAAAUCCCCUGCUAUUUAGCACUAACACA
Zonotrichia leucophrys gambelii is the source of this 1028-nucleotide long non-coding RNA. RefSeq lists it as uncharacterized. The record is from RefSeq and is a predicted model, not a curated record. The transcript has 3 exons. Lineage: Eukaryota; Metazoa; Chordata; Aves; Passeriformes; Passerellidae.